This 387-nucleotide ribosomal RNA is filed under the name uncultured bacterium. RNAcentral describes it as "bacterial SSU rRNA". It matches the Rfam family "Bacterial small subunit ribosomal RNA", at positions 29 to 416 of the family's 1533-position model. The record is from RNAcentral.
AUUGAACGCUGGCGGCAUGCUUUACACAUGCAAGUCGAACGGUAACAGGGAGCUUGCUCCGCUGACGAGUGGCGAACGGGUGAGUAAUGCAUCGGAACGUGCCGUGUAAUGGGGGAUAACGUAGCGAAAGUUACGCUAAUACCGCAUACGCCCUGAGGGGGAAAGCGGGGGAGUCGUAAGACCUCGCGUUAUACGAGCGGCCGAUGUCGGAUUAGCUAGUUGGUGGGGUAAAGGCCUACCAAGGCGACGAUCCGUAGCGGGUCUGAGAGGAUGAUCCGCCACACUGGGACUGAGACACGGCCCAGACUCCUACGGGAGGCAGCAGUGGGGAAUUUUGGACAAUGGGGGCAACCCUGAUCCAGCCAUGCCGCGUGAGUGAAGAAGGCC